This is a long non-coding RNA of Syzygium oleosum, 630 nucleotides long. RefSeq lists it as uncharacterized. The transcript is spliced from 2 exons. Lineage: Eukaryota; Viridiplantae; Streptophyta; Magnoliopsida; Myrtales; Myrtaceae. The record is from RefSeq and is a predicted model, not a curated record.
UAUUUGUCUAGAUGUGAUCCAAGCGGGUUCAAGUGCCUGAAGAGCAUAUUUACCGAAACAAAUACGAUUACCUCGAUAAGAUAUUCCUUUCAUUCUUCCUCUAUGUUGUUUACGAAAUCGGGUUCUUUUGGGGUUAUACAUAGCAAUUAUAUGAAAUCAUCAAUCAAAUUUUUAUUCAACCUUACAUAAUUGCUUAUUUUUUUGAUUUAAGAGAAAAAGUUUUUUUUUAUUCUAUUUUUUUUUAUCAAUGGAUAUAGUGUAAAGAGUAAAAACAAGGAAAGUAUUCUUAUUCCCCAUUCUUAUUCCCCAAAUAUCCAAAUUUUGAUGCCUAAUACUCCAUAGACCGUUUGGACUCCAUAGGAACAAUAAUCAAUUUUAGCUCGAAUGGUUUGUAGAGGAACCCUACCUUCUCUGAUCCAUUCGACACGUGCAAUUUCUUUUCCGUCGAUGCGACCUGCAAUUUGUACUUGAAUUCCUUUUGUAUCUGUCUGUUCGGUUAAUUCAAUAGCCUUUUUUAUUGCUUUGCGAAAUGAAACUCUAUUCUUUAAUUGUCCGGCUAUAAAUUCUGCAAGAAUAUUAGGGUGCCCAUAAGGGUUUGUAAUUCUUGUGAUAGCAAUGUUGAGUUUUCGG